RNAcentral lists this small RNA (23 nucleotides) under Arabidopsis thaliana (thale cress). Its description in RNAcentral is "ATSL301780". The record is from RNAcentral. Lineage: Eukaryota; Viridiplantae; Streptophyta; Magnoliopsida; Brassicales; Brassicaceae.
UGCCAUCGUUUCCUCCUCUCUUU